Molecule: ribosomal RNA, 418 nt
Filed under: uncultured Aminicenantes bacterium
Lineage: Bacteria; Candidatus Aminicenantota
Description: bacterial SSU rRNA
Rfam family: Bacterial small subunit ribosomal RNA
Source: RNAcentral
UUACCUGGGCUUGAACUGCUGGUGGUAGAAGCCCGAAAGGGUAACGACCCGGAGCAAUCCGGGAGCCAGUAGAGGUGCUGCAUGGCUGUCGUCAGCUCGUGUCGUGAGAUGUUGGGUUAAGUCCCGCAACGAGCGCAACCCUUACCCUUAGUUGCCAGCGGGUAAUGCCGGGCACUCUAAGGGGACCGCCCCGGAUAACGGGGAGGAAGGCGGGAUGACGUCAAGUCAGCAUGGCCCUUAUGUCCAGGGCUACACACGUGCUACAAUGGGCGAUACAGAGGGAAGCAAGGCCGCAAGGUAGAGCUAAUCCCUAAAGUCGUCCUCAGUUCGGAUUGCAGGCUGCAACUCGCCUGCAUGAAGUCGGAAUCGCUAGUAAUCGCGGAUCAGCUACGCCGCGGUGAAUACGUUCUCGGGCCUU